UUAAGUUAUUAAGGGCGCACGGUGGAUGCCUUGGCACUAGAAGCCGAUGAAGGACGUUACUAACGACGAUAUGCUUUGGGGAGCUGUAAGUAAGCUUUGAUCCAGAGAUUUCCGAAUGGGGAAACCCAGCAUGAGUUAUGUCAUGUUAUCGAUAUGUGAAUACAUAGCAUAUCAGAAGGCACACCCGGAGAACUGAAACAUCUUAGUACCCGGAGGAAGAGAAAGAAAAUUCGAUUCCCUUAGUAGCGGCGAGCGAAACGGGAAGAGCCCAAACCAACAAGCUUGCUUGUUGGGGUUGUAGGACACUCUAUACGGAGUUACAAAGGACGACAUUAGACGAAUCAUCUGGAAAGAUGAAUCAAAGAAGGUAAUAAUCCUGUAGUCGAAAAUGUUGUCUCUCUUGAGUGGAUCCUGAGUACGACGGAGCACGUGAAAUUCCGUCGGAAUCUGGGAGGACCAUCUCCUAAGGCUAAAUACUCUCUAGUGACCGAUAGUGAACCAGUACCGUGAGGGAAAGGUGAAAAGCACCCCGGAAGGGGAGUGAAAUAGAACCUGAAACCGUGUGCUUACAAGUAGUCAGAGCCCGUUAAUGGGUGAUGGCGUGCCUUUUGUAGAAUGAACCGGCGAGUUACGAUUUGAUGCAAGGUUAAGCAGUAAAUGUGGAGCCGUAGCGAAAGCGAGUCUGAAUAGGGCGUUUAGUAUUUGGUCGUAGACCCGAAACCAGGUGAUCUACCCUUGGUCAGGUUGAAGUUCAGGUAACACUGAAUGGAGGACCGAACCGACUUACGUUGAAAAGUGAGCGGAUGAACUGAGGGUAGCGGAGAAAUUCCAAUCGAACCUGGAGAUAGCUGGUUCUCUCCGAAAUAGCUUUAGGGCUAGCCUCAAGUGAUGAUUAUUGGAGGUAGAGCACUGUUUGGACGAGGGGCCCCUCUCGGGUUACCGAAUUCAGACAAACUCCGAAUGCCAAUUAAUUUAACUUGGGAGUCAGAACAUGGGUGAUAAGGUCCGUGUUCGAAAGGGAAACAGCCCAGACCACCAGCUAAGGUCCCAAAAUAUAUGUUAAGUGGAAAAGGAUGUGGCGUUGCCCAGACAACUAGGAUGUUGGCUUAGAAGCAGCCAUCAUUUAAAGAGUGCGUAAUAGCUCACUAGUCGAGUGACACUGCGCCGAAAAUGUACCGGGGCUAAACAUAUUACCGAAGCUGUGGAUUGUCCUUUGGACAAUGGUAGGAGAGCGUUCUAAGAGCGUUGAAGCAUGAUCGUAAGGACAUGUGGAGCGCUUAGAAGUGAGAAUGCCGGUGUGAGUAGCGAAAGACGGGUGAGAAUCCCGUCCACCGAUUGACUAAGGUUUCCAGAGGAAGGCUCGUCCGCUCUGGGUUAGUCGGGUCCUAAGCUGAGGCCGACAGGCGUAGGCGAUGGAUAACAGGUUGAUAUUCCUGUACCACCUAUAAUCGUUUUAAUCGAUGGGGGACGCAGUAGGAUAGGCGAAGCGUGCGAUUGGAUUGCACGUCUAAGCAGUAAGGCUGAGUAUUAGGCAAAUCCGGUACUCGUUAAGGCUGAGCUGUGAUGGGGAGAAGACAUUGUGUCUUCGAGUCGUUGAUUUCACACUGCCGAGAAAAGCCUCUAGAUAGAAAAUAGGUGCCCGUACCGCAAACCGACACAGGUAGUCAAGAUGAGAAUUCUAAGGUGAGCGAGCGAACUCUCGUUAAGGAACUCGGCAAAAUGACCCCGUAACUUCGGGAGAAGGGGUGCUCUUUAGGGUUAACGCCCAGAAGAGCCGCAGUGAAUAGGCCCAAGCGACUGUUUAUCAAAACACAGGUCUCUGCUAAACCGUAAGGUGAUGUAUAGGGGCUGACGCCUGCCCGGUGCUGGAAGGUUAAGAGGAGUGGUUAGCUUCUGCGAAGCUACGAAUCGAAGCCCCAGUAAACGGCGGCCGUAACUAUAACGGUCCUAAGGUAGCGAAAUUCCUUGUCGGGUAAGUUCCGACCCGCACGAAAGGCGUAACGAUUUGGGCACUGUCUCAACGAGAGACUCGGUGAAAUCAUAGUACCUGUGAAGAUGCAGGUUACCCGCGACAGGACGGAAAGACCCCGUGGAGCUUUACUGUAGCCUGAUAUUGAAAUUCGGCACAGCUUGUACAGGAUAGGUAGGAGCCUUUGAAACGUGAGCGCUAGCUUACGUGGAGGCGCUGGUGGGAUACUACCCUAGCUGUGUUGGCUUUCUAACCCGCACCACUUAUCGUGGUGGGAGACAGUGUCAGGCGGGCAGUUUGACUGGGGCGGUCGCCUCCUAAAAGGUAACGGAGGCGCUCAAAGGUUCCCUCAGAAUGGUUGGAAAUCAUUCAUAGAGUGUAAAGGCAUAAGGGAGCUUGACUGCGAGACCUACAAGUCGAGCAGGGUCGAAAGACGGACUUAGUGAUCCGGUGGUUCCGCAUGGAAGGGCCAUCGCUCAACGGAUAAAAGCUACCCCGGGGAUAACAGGCUUAUCUCCCCCAAGAGUUCACAUCGACGGGGAGGUUUGGCACCUCGAUGUCGGCUCAUCGCAUCCUGGGGCUGUAGUCGGUCCCAAGGGUUGGGCUGUUCGCCCAUUAAAGCGGUACGCGAGCUGGGUUCAGAACGUCGUGAGACAGUUCGGUCCCUAUCCGUCGUGGGCGUAGGAAAUUUGAGAGGAGCUGUCCUUAGUACGAGAGGACCGGGAUGGACAUACCUCUGGUGUACCAGUUGUCGUGCCAACGGCAUAGCUGGGUAGCUAUGUGUGGACGGGAUAAGUGCUGAAAGCAUCUAAGCAUGAAGCCCCCUCAAGAUGAGAUUUCCCAACUUCGGUUAUAAGAUCCCUCAAAGAUGAUGAGGUUAAUAGGUUCGAGGUGGAAGCAUGGUGACAUGUGGAGCUGACGAAUACUAAUCGAUCGAAGACUUAAUCAA
Molecule: ribosomal RNA, 2918 nt
Filed under: Staphylococcus aureus
Lineage: Bacteria; Bacillati; Bacillota; Bacilli; Caryophanales; Staphylococcaceae
Description: bacterial LSU rRNA
Rfam family: Bacterial large subunit ribosomal RNA
Source: RNAcentral